This 332-nucleotide ribosomal RNA is filed under the name uncultured bacterium. RNAcentral's name for it is "SSU rRNA". It matches the Rfam family "Bacterial small subunit ribosomal RNA", at positions 26 to 376 of the family's 1533-position model. The record is from RNAcentral.
AGGAUGAACGCUGGCGGCGUGCCUAAUACAUGCAAGUCGAGCGGUAAGGCCCCUUCGGGGGUACACGAGCGGCGGACGGCUGAGUAACACGUAGGAACGUACCCCAAAGUGAGGGAUAAGCACCAGAAAUGGUGUCUAAUACCGCAUGUGAUCUAAGGAUUAAAGCUCCGGCGCUUUGGGAACGGCCUGCGUAAGAUUAGCUUGUUGGUGAGGUAAUGGCUCACCAAGGCGACGAUCUUUAGCUGGUCUGAGAGGAUGACCAGCCAGACUGGGACUGAGACACGGCCCAGACUCCUACGGGAGGCAGCAGUAGGGAAUUUUCCACAAUGGGC